GGAGUGCAGACGUGUGCUCUUCCGUUCUCUCCUGAGCGUGAAGCCGGCUUUUGGUGUUGCUUCUGCAGCUGCUAUUAGCCAUUGAUGAUCGUUCUUCUUUUCCUUUUUGGAGAUGAAGAGGGAGAGAACGUAGUCUGAGUGGCUU
This is a long non-coding RNA of Cervus elaphus (red deer), 145 nucleotides long. RefSeq lists it as uncharacterized. The transcript has 5 exons. The record is from RefSeq and is a predicted model, not a curated record. Lineage: Eukaryota; Metazoa; Chordata; Mammalia; Artiodactyla; Cervidae.